This 264-nucleotide ribosomal RNA is filed under the name uncultured archaeon. RNAcentral describes it as "partial 16S ribosomal RNA". It matches the Rfam family "Archaeal small subunit ribosomal RNA", at positions 717 to 982 of the family's 1478-position model. The record is from RNAcentral.
ACACGACUACAUUAGAUACCCCCGUAGUCCUAGGCGUAAAUGAUGCGAGUUAAGUNUGGGGGCAUCUACGAGAUGGCCCUGUGCUGUAGGGUAGCCGUUAAACUCGCUGCCUGGGGAGUACGGUCGCAAGGCUGAAACUUAAAGGAAUUGGCGGGGAGCACCACAAGAGGUGGAGGCUGCGGUUCAAUUGGACUCAACGCCGGGAAGCUCACCGGAUAAGACAGCGGAAUGAUUGCCGGGCUGAAGACCCUGCAUGACCAGCUG